AGUCGAGGGGCAGCAUUUCAGUUUGCUUGCNAACUGGAGAUGGCGACCGGCGCACNGGUGAGUAACACGUAUCCAACCUGCCGAUAACUCGGGGAUAGCCUUUCGAAAGAAAGAUUAAUACCCGAUGGUAUAAUNAGACCGCAUGGUCUUGUUAUUAAAGAAUUUCGGUUAUCGAUGGGGAUGCGUUCCAUUAGGCAGUUGGUGAGGUAACGGCUCACCAAACCUUCGAUGGAUAGGGGUUCUGAGAGGAAGGUCCCCCACAUUGGAACUGAGACACGGUCCAAACUCCUACGGGAGGCAGCAGUGAGGAAUAUUGGUCAAUGGGCGCAGGCCUGAACCAGCCAAGUAGCGUGAAGGAUGACUGCCCUAUGGGUUGUAAACUUCUUUUAUAUGGGAAUAAAGUUUUCCACGUGUGGAAUUUUGUAUGUACCAUAUGAAUAAGGAUCGGCUAACUCCGUGCCAGCAGCCGCGGUAAUACGGAGGAUCCCGAGCGUUAUCCGGAUUUAUUGGGUUUAAAGGGAGCGUAGGUGGACAGUUAAGUCAGUUGUGAAAGUUUGCGGCUCAACCGUAAAAUUGCAGUUGAUACUGGCUGUCUUGAGUACAGUAGAGGUGGGCGGAAUUCGUGGUGUAGCGGUGAAAUGCUUAGAUAUCACGAAGAACUCCGAUUGCGAAGGCAGCUCACUGGACUGCAACUGACACUGAUGCUCGAAAGUGUGGGUAUCAAACAGGAUUAGAUACCCUGGUAGUCCACACAGUAAACGAUGAAUACUCGCUGUUUGCGAUAUACAGUAAGCGGCCAAGCGAAAGCAUUAAGUAUUCCACCUGGGGAGUACGCCGGCAACGGUGAAACUCAAAGGAAUUGACGGGGGCCCGCACAAGCGGAGGAACAUGUGGUUUAAUUCGAUGAUACGCGAGGAACCUUACCCGGGCUUAAAUUGCAUUUGAAUAUAUUGGNAAACAGUAUAGUCGUAAGACAAAUGUGAAGGUGCUGCAUGGUUGUCGUCAGCUCGUGCCGUGAGGGGUCGGCUUAAGUGCCAUAACGAGCGCAACCCUUAUCUUUAGUUACUAACAGGUCAUGCUGAGGACUCUAGAGAGACUGCCGUCGUAAGAUGUGAGGAAGGUGGGGAUGACGUCAAAUCAGCACGGCCCUUACGUCCGGGGCUACACACGUGUUACAAUGGGGGGUACAGAAGGCAGCUACCUGGUGACAGGAUGCUAAUCCCAAAAGCCUCUCUCAGUUCGGAUCGAAGUCUGCAACCCGACUUCGUGAAGCUGGAUUCGCUAGUAAUCGCGCAUCAGCCAUGGCGCGGUGAAUACGUUCCCGGGCCUUGUACACACCGCCCGUCAAGCCAUGAAAGCCGGGGGUACCUGAAGUACGUAACCGCAAGGAGCUCCUAGG
This 1399-nucleotide ribosomal RNA is filed under the name bacterium NLAE-zl-H406. RNAcentral describes it as "16S ribosomal RNA". It matches the Rfam family "Bacterial small subunit ribosomal RNA". The record is from RNAcentral.